RNAcentral lists this ribosomal RNA (520 nucleotides) under uncultured bacterium. RNAcentral describes it as "partial 16S ribosomal RNA". It matches the Rfam family "Bacterial small subunit ribosomal RNA", at positions 29 to 523 of the family's 1533-position model. The record is from RNAcentral.
AAUGAACGCUAGCGGCGUGCUUAACACAUGCAAGUCGUACGAGAAACCCCGGCUUGCCGGGGGAGUAAAGUGGCGCACGGGUGAGUAACGCGUGGGUAAUCUACCCUCGAAUUGGGGAUAACACACCGAAAGGUGUGCUAAUACCGAAUAAGACCACGACCUCCACGGGGGUUGCGGUCAAAGAUGGCCUCUGCUUGCAAGCUGUCGUUUGAGGAUGAGCCCGCGUACCAUUAGCUUGUUGGUGGGGUAAUGGCCUACCAAGGCAACGAGGGUUAGCUGGUCUGAGAGGAUGGCCAGCCAACCUGGAACUGGAACACGGUCAGACUCCUACGGGAGGCAGCAGUGAGGAAUUUUGCGCAAUGGGGGAAACCCUGACGCAGCAACGCCGCGUGAGUGAAGAAGGCCUUCGGGUUGUAAAGCUCUGUCAAGUGGGAAGAACCUUUUUCGGCCGAAUACGCCGAGGAACUGACGGUACCGCUGAAGGAAGCACCGGCUAACUCCGUGCCAGCCGCCGCCGUAA